RNAcentral lists this ribosomal RNA (831 nucleotides) under uncultured bacterium. Its description in RNAcentral is "bacterial SSU rRNA". It matches the Rfam family "Bacterial small subunit ribosomal RNA", at positions 41 to 890 of the family's 1533-position model. The record is from RNAcentral.
GGCGUGCUUAACACAUGCAAGUCGAACGAUGAAACCUUAGCUUGCUAAGGUGGAUUAGUGGCGCACGGGUGAGUAAUAUAUAGAUAACGUGCCUCUUAGUCUGGGAUAGCCAUUGGAAACGAUGAUUAAUACCGGAUACUCCUUCUCAUUAUAAUUUGAGUUGGGAAAGUUUUUCGCUAAGAGAUCGGUCUAUAUCCCAUCAGCUUGUUGGUAGUGUAAGAGACUACCAAGGCAAUGACGGGUAGCGGGUUUGAGAGGAUGAUCCGCCACACUGGUACUGAGACACGGACCAGACUCCUACGGGAGGCAGCAGUGAGGAAUAUUGCACAAUGGAGGAAACUCUGAUGCAGCAACGCCGCGUGGAGGAUGACGCAUUUCGGUGUGUAAACUCCUUUUAUAGGUCAAGAAAAUGACGGUAGCCUAUGAAUAAGCACCGGCUAACUCCGUGCCAGCAGCCGCGGUAAUACGGAGGGUGCAAGCGUUAUUCGGAAUCACUGGGCGUAAAGGACACGUAGGCGGGAAGCCAAGUCUGAUGUGAAAUCCUAUGGCUUAACCAUAGAACUGCAUUGGAAACUGGUUACCUAGAGUAUGGGAGGGGGAGAUGGAAUUAGUGGUGUAGGGGUAAAAUCCGUAGAUAUCACUAGGAAUACCUAAAGCGAAGGCGAUCUCCUGGAACAUUACUGACGCUAAGGUGUGAAAGCGUGGGGAGCAAACGGGAUUAGAUACCCCGGUAGUCCACGCCCUAAACGAUGUUCACUAGUCGUCGGGAUGCUAGUCAUCUCGGUGAUGCACUUAACAGAUUAAGUGAACCGCCUGGGGAGUACGGUCGCA